ACUGAGAGAUAUCUCAGUUGGUAGAGCAUGAGACUCUUAAUCUCAGGGUUGUGAGUUUGAGCCCCAUGUUGGGUG
RNAcentral lists this transfer RNA (75 nucleotides) under Podarcis lilfordi (Lilford's wall lizard). RNAcentral's name for it is "tRNA.Lys". The stretch from base 10 to 67 matches the Rfam family "tRNA", at positions 8 to 63 of the family's 71-position model. From Rfam's summary of the family: Transfer RNA (tRNA) molecules are approximately 80 nucleotides in length. The record is from RNAcentral. Lineage: Eukaryota; Metazoa; Chordata; Lepidosauria; Squamata; Lacertidae.